RNAcentral lists this long non-coding RNA (7838 nucleotides) under Zea mays. RNAcentral describes it as "long non-coding RNA (ZMAY_LNC002810)". The record is from RNAcentral. Lineage: Eukaryota; Viridiplantae; Streptophyta; Magnoliopsida; Poales; Poaceae.
CUCCCCCUAAUUCCCUCUCUCUUGUGCAGCAGCCCCCAUCCCCUCAACCCUAGCCGCCACCCCCCCUCCCAUCUCCUCCUCUCCAAGUGAUGUCCUUCCUCGCCGGAUCUUCUUCGUGUGGGUGCAAGUUCCGAUUGGAGAAUUGGUGGGAGGAAGGAAGGAGGAAAGGAGGAACCCAAGGUGAUUUUGUGAUUAACUCUUGUUUAUUUGUGCUGCAAUUCAAUCGAUUAGAUGUUUACGUAUGCGAAUUGGUAGAGGUGCUGUCCAGAAAUUUUGUGGGUGCGCGAACAGCAGUAGUUCUAGCAGAUUCUGGGAAUUUUUCGUGGGUAAUUAGUGGGAAUCAGUGGGAGAAUCAUCUAGAGCUUUUUCAUACCUUUCCAAUGAGUACUUAUGCGCUCGAUUCGGAGUUAUAUUUUAGGAGAUAUCGCUGUUUGAAUCCGGGUAUGUUGCUGUCCAAAAAAAAACAGAUUUUGCAGGUGGGCAAACAGCAGUAGUAUUAGCAGUUUCUGGGGAUUUUUCGUGGGAACUUAGUGAUAAUCAAUAUGAGAAUCAUUUAGAGCUUUGUCAUACCUUUCCAACGAGUACUUAUGCACUCGAUUCGGAGUUAUAUUUUAGGAGAUAUUGCUGUUUGAAUCCGGGUAUGUUGCUGUCCAAAAAAAACAGAUUUAUGCAGGUGGGCGAACAACAGUAGUAUUAGCAGUUUCUGGGAAUUUUUCGUGGGAAAUUGGUGAUAAUAAAUAUGAGAAUCAUGUAGAGCCUUGUCAUACCUUUCCAACGAGUACUUAUGCGUUCGAUUCGGAGUUAUAAUUUAGGAGAUAUCGCUGUUUGAAUCCGGUUAUGUUGCUGUCCAAAAACAGAUUGCAGGGUGUAUCUUGUAGACGAGUUUGAGCUAAUUAGAUGCUGGAAUUUAAUUAUCAUUUGAAUAUAAAACUUGUGGGAAAUUUUAUGUAGAUGCUUCCGUAGUUUUUGAUUGAUAUCACUGCUGUUAUAAUUUUAAAGUUAUGAAAUUAUCAAGCAGCACCGCUGCAGUUUGGUGGUGAUGGGGAGAGUUGUCGCUCGCAACGGGUUGGAAUUGUGCGUAGGUGCGGCGUUGUUUAUUAGCGUUUGUUAUGUUGAUUUGUACACUAAGGUGUGUGUCAAAAACAGGUGGUGGACUUCCGGAUCGUACUUAGUACCAUUCCAAAUUCCCGGUGAAGGCAAGUAAAUACAGUGGUGGUUGCUGCCGUUUGGUUUGCAUCCUAUGCCUUGUCAUUGAGUAUGCAUAAGUAUUAAAUGUGUUAAUCAUUGAAUUCUAUGAUGAAGUUUAUUUGUUCGAAAGAAUUAAUUCUCAAUUGUCUAAUAUUGAGGAUGAUCAUGAUUUGGGAAUGAUAUAUGUGGUUGAUUCCCAUCUUAGAUGAAGUUGAAGUAUCUUUUUGAAUCAUGUUGUAUGAAGUGUUGUAGGCAUGUCAUGCACAUCGCAUCAUCCAUAUUGCAUUUUGAAGUUAUGUCGUGAUCUUAUGGUCCGACCGUACCGGUACACUUUUAGCAUCGUACGUUGCCCGAGGAGGGGUACGAUGCGGCUUCAUACCCUUAGAGGUAUGAAGGCAGAAGUCAUCCUUGCAUUUGCAGACAUUUGCACUCAUGAGGUAUAUAUGAAGUGUGACAUUACUAUGUUACUAUUGUGGUUUCUACCUGCGAGGUGUGGUAACUAGGUGUGUUGUACGUUGUAUUCGUGCUGCACCUUCGUAAUAAGAAGGUUGCGAAAUCAAAUGGUGGUAAAACAAUGUUCUUAUGUGGUUAAACAGUUUGUUAUUAUUUUACUUGCUGAGAUGUGUCAUCUCACUCUUGCAUUACUCAAUGCAGGUACUUGAUAUAUGUUGGGAAUGAGGGGAGUAGCAGCACGUCCACUUUCACUCUCAUAUUAAGGCUGCCCAAGCGCAUCCAUGAUUUAAUUAGAAACUUGAUGUCAAAGGAUGUUUUUUUACUAGUCAUGCGCACUGGUUAAUUCAGUUCAUGUCGUAUGUUUAACUUUCCUUUGCUAGCCGUUUAAUAAUACUUAGUAUGUUUUUUGUCAUGAUACAUGUUUAUACACUGUUGCCCCCUCCUUUAUGCUAUUUUGCAAAGGAGAUGCUGUCGAAAUUUUAUAUACGGAUGUCAGAAGUGUAGUUCAGUAGCAUUCCGGGGUGUUUGUGGAUUCCGGGAUGUUACAGUUGGUAUCAGAGGAUAGGCUUUAGAUUCUACGCAAUUUGAAGAUAAAUUUGACACACUUGCACAUAUAGGAAGGGUAUGAGUUCGUAUAUCUUUCAUAUUAGUAUUUUAUUGUAUAGAUGACUAGAAUUCCCUUACUCCAAAUCCCUUUAUGGUUUGAUGGGAUAUGUCGUUAAUGACUUAAUGCUUGAUAUGAUAUGUUACUUCUAUUUAAUAUUGGUUUCUUGAUGUGGUUGUUGCUGAAGUUAUUAUGCAAGUGAAGCUACUAAUGUACUUGUUUUGUAUACAUAUCGUCAUGAUGUUUUUUAUGCGAUGUUUUUCAAAUCUCUGAGCUAUUACUAUCAUAUAUUUCUAUAUGCUUGACUGUGGAUGUUUUUAUGGAUUUCUUUGGGUUCUAGUAUUUGUAGGACCGAUUGUUUAUUGAGUUUGUGUAUAGUGGGUCUAAUCCGGCUUGGUGUGGUGUGAAAACACGAUAUAAUGUAGUUUUAUCAUGUGGUUGAGUCUGAUUGAAUGUUGGGUUACAACCCAACUUAUCAAUGUAAUAUUUCCAUGGAUUCAAUGCUUUGUGCCUCACCCCUUUGGGCUAAUAUGGCUACUUGCCAACUUGAUCUUAGAGUACAAGAGGUUUGUCUCCAUAGAGCAAAGGCAAUGUUGUAAUGUUUAUGAAACCUUGAGACUGGUAGAACUCAAGUGAAUUUGUAAGAUGACGUGGAUAGAUAAGUUCAACCAUGUUUACAUGAUAGGUUUUCUUAUUGUGUGCAACCUUAGCAAUAAAUAGGGUGAUUUCAAGUGGAUUUUAUGUCUAUAUUAUAGUUGAAGAGGCAUGCAUGUUUUCCUUCCAUGGUUUGUUUCUAUAGCCAUAAAGGUUAUGCAUAUUUUUUUUAGUUGUUGGAGGCUAGUCAUGUGGACGAUAUGGACAACCCAUUUUAUAUAUAUUUGUAAUCGCCGACGAUAUAUGGUAGUUUUAUUUUUUUGAUCUGUUCUCUAUGCAUGCUUGUUGAAUUAUUAUUUGGACCGCUUUAUCUUAAACAAAGUCAAUGCUUAACUGGAAGUUGCUUAUGUUUGUUAGUCAUCUAUCUCUAUAAUUAUGUGGUUGUUGCAUCAGAUGGAGAUUUUUUUUUCAUAUGAAUGAUGGUUUGAUAGAUCAUGUAUGUCUACUAGACUACUACUUUGAAUUCAUCCUAUGACAUCACGAGGUAGAAAUUGUUCAAGUGCAAUAAUAGGAGGUAUUGUUGUAUGUGAGGUUAAUCAAGGUAGUUUGAUUAGGUGGAUUGUCUUAUUGAAGUCCAAUUACUCCUGUUGAGCAUAGUAUCAUGAUAUUAUUUUAGUGUUGAAAGUAAUAUUUAUGAAGCUUUUGCAUGAGUCUGUAUCAAGAAGAUCAUUAGUUUUUCUUGUUGUUAUCCCUCCAUUGCUUUAUGAGUGUUGCACAUUUUAUCUCUUUUGAGAGGAGAAAAAAAAGAUGUUAUAUGUCAUGAGCACCAUUUGCUUCACGUCAACAAAAUAGUUUUGGAGAUUUCUAUUAGUUGGAUUCUAGUGUAAUAACAACCAUGUUUUAUAGUGCUUGAGAUGGGUAUGUCAGGUGUUCCAUACAUUGUCGAUACAUGGAUGUUUGACCUUAGUGGCGUUAACAAACGAGGAUGUUGAAUUUGUUGAUUGUUGUGCUUAGUGUUCUAACCUAUUUGGUAGAGUUUUAUUUAAAGACUUUGUGGAGUUGCAUCCCAAUUUGGUAGUGGAAAAUCCUAGUGUUGAUUGCACCUGCCAGUGCCUUGGGUUUCAUUUUAUAUUGUUUUUUAUUGUUGUUAAUGUGUUGUUUGGUUUUGGGAGGCAUUUUAAAUUAGUUGGAUGCUGAAUCAGGCUUCACUUGUCGAGAAUGUUUUGUAGUAUGUUUUUUCAUCUUUCCAUAGGAUGCUUAAUCACCCGGUUUGGUCCAAACAUUUGAGAGUUAUGGGUUUCCUAAAACAUCCUUAUUGGUGUCUCUAGCAGAAUGAGUCUUUAAUUUUGAACGGAAGAGUAGACAUUGAAGACAAUAUAAUUUGGUCUUUGUUGGAUUAUGAAAGUUUUAGCAAUUUUAUGAUCUUUCCAACGAGUAUUGGUUUGUAAUUCUCAUUGCAUAUAAUUGGAGUUAGGUUGCUCUGAAGUUGUUGCACCGUUGUGUCUGAACUUUAGUUGUCGUUAUAACCACCAAUAAAUCGACCACGUUUUGAUAGUUUCAUAGCCCAAAGUUGGGAAUUCUCUUUAAGCAAAACUUUUAGUUCUUCUCAGUACCUUUUAAAUGGGCAUUUACUUGUAAUUGUCUGUUAAAUAGAUUGGGAGAGGUGGUUGUCCGAUUAUAAGUCGAAUCUCUAAUGUGCAGUAUCUCAGGCUGAGUUUAGCUGUAGGUCAUGCAUAGUUGAGGGCUAUAAAGAUAAAUUUGGGUGCAACUUUAUUGCAAAAGUCGUGGACAAUUUUCAAAACUUUUCCAACGCGUGUUCGUUGUAGUUUAAGUUGAGUAUAGCAGGAGUUAUAGGUUUUUGAAUUUUAGUUGUCCAUUGUUUCAAUCCUACCAGUUUUGCAACAAAAGUGUUGCAUUGUUUUAUCGGUUUGGAAACCAAAUUCGAGACACUCAUUAUAAUAAAAGUUUUAGGGAAUGUUAUAAUCUUUUCAAUGAGUUUAUAUUUGCAAAAUUUUGUUAGCUGUAGGGAGUUAUGAUAUAGUGUAUAGAAUGUGCUUGGAUAAAUAUGUGGGCAGGCAUAACAUGCUUAAAUUGAUUCUUGUUUGCAUGAUGUGAGAUUAGGCUUAAAUGAUUUAAAAGGUUAUCAUAUUGCUUCUAUACUUAUAUUUGUUCUAAGUGUCUCGUAAUGAAGAACCUAAAGUUAUUAGUCUUUCGAUGAACGCUUUAUCUUAGAAGAGUAAUGAACCUCAUAAAAUCUAUUGCUUGUUGUUGGGACUGCAUGACCAGUUUUAGUUAUGCAGCUAGUUCAAUGAAGUAAACCAUCUUUUCUGUAGAGAUGUUAUAUAUAAAAGUUGUAGCCAACUUCUUUAUCUUAUUUGUGUAAAAAUUUCAUGACCAUAGGUCUAGUAGUUUGGGAGUUAUGAUUUUCUCAAGUCCAGUCUUGGAAUCUGUCCAGAUUUUGUACAGACUUCGAAACUGACCUCGUUUGCCCAAUUUAAACUUCGAAUAAGUUCUUAUAAAUUAUAAAUAAGUUGUAGUACUUUUCUUAAUCUUUUCAACAAAUUUUGGAUCACCUUUUUUGGUGAUCUAUAAGUUAAGUUACAGCUGUUUUAAGUGUGAUCUUUGAAUCUGUCCAAAUUUGGACAGCAGAGCCUUUCUCAUGUCUUUUGACCUUGAUAUGCAUUGAAUUAACAUGAUAUGUUAUAAAUGAAUUAUAGACAAUUCUAUUAGAUUUCUAAAAAGUCUAGGAGCACCUGAAUUGGAUGACUGAGACUCCAAUUAGGGAUUUUUUUGAAUUGAGUAGUUGAAUUCUGUCCAAGUCUGGACAGAAUUUACGUUUAGCAUUGUUUGACCUUUCUAUGUGUCAAAUCUUGUUGUGAUGAUAAUACCAAGGGUAUAGUGGACUUUAUAAGAUUUCCAUAAAGUCUUAGUCUACUAUUUUGGAUGCAUAUUUUGUGAGUUAUGAGCAAAACAAUUAACCGCUGUGCUGCUGUCCAGAAAUAUGCAAGCAUUAAGUUGCUCUCUUGAAGUUGCUCUUGUUUGGCUAAGUUUGGUUUAGGCUAUAGGAACACUAUAUGCAUUGCAUUCAUAUAUACAUUCCUUGAAGUACUUGCAUAUGUCAAUGUUGAUUUGGUGAGAGGAAAGCUUUGUCCGAGGUAUAUAGGACUGUCUACUAUCUUAGCCGAGUUGGCAGCUGGGCUUAGCACAUACAAUUGUCGGAAUCUAUAAUCAUAGUACACCAUGUAUUCCAUGUCUUUAUGUUGAGGAAGUAUUUGAGGAAUCCAGACCAUCAAAUCGAGCUAGAGUCGAUUCCCUGUGUAGCAAGACCAGACUCUAGAGUGUCGUCUGCUGCGUAUCUUAGAAUCCUAGGAGCUUGAGGAGCUGAUGUGGCAGAAGUACCCGAACUUUUCAUUAUGUGUGAGUGUUGUUGAUUCAUUAAUCUUGCUUUUGUCGUUCCGAUAAAAGCGUCAGAAUUCGAGGACGAAUUCUUUUUAAGGGGGGUAGAGUGUGAUACCCAAUUUGCAAAGAAGAGAAGUUGGAGUUUAUUCUUUCUUGUUUUUUUUGCUUCUCGUUUGGGUAGUGCACUUUUGGAGUUUGGAAUUGUUGGGUAGCAUUCGCUAGUAAAACAAUAGAAUUUUGGUUAGACUUGUGCGCCGGGGUCGGGAGUUGACGCGUGAGCGAGUUGGGCCGUGGUUCUUGAUCCGGCCCACUAACCCCCCCUAACCCUAGCCGCCCCUUCCCCUAAUUCCCUUCCCCUUGUGCAGCCGCCCCCCCCUCUCUAGCCUUUGGCCGCCAUCCCCUCCCCCUAAUUCCCUCUCUCUUGUGCAGCAGCCCCCAUCCCCUCAACCCUAGCCGCCACCCCCCCCUCCCAUCUCCUCCUCUCCAAGUGAUGUCCUUCCUCGCCGGAUCUUCUUCGUGUGGGUGCAAGUUCCGAUUGGAGAAUUGGUGGGAGGAAGGAAGGAGGAAAGGAGGAACCCAAGGUGAUUUUGUGAUUAACUCUUGUUUAUUUGUGCUGCAAUUCAAUCGAUUAGAUGUUUACGUAUGCGAAUUGGUAGAGGUGCUGUCCAGAAAUUUUGUGGGUGCGCGAACAGCAGUAGUUCUAGCAGAUUCUGGGAAUUUUUCGUGGGUAAUUAGUGGGAAUCAGUGGGAGAAUCAUCUAGAGCUUUUUCAUACCUUUCCAAUGAGUACUUAUGCGCUCGAUUCGGAGUUAUAUUUUAGGAGAUAUCGCUGUUUGAUUCCGGGUAUGUUGCUGUCCAAAAAAAAAAACAGAUUUUGCAGGUGGGCAAACAGCAGUAGUAUUAGCAGUUUCUGGGGAUUUUUCGUGGGAACUUAGUGAUAAUCAAUAUGAGAAUCAUUUAGAGCUUUGUCAUACCUUUCCAACGAGUACUUAUGCACUCGAUUCGGAGUUAUAUUUUAGGAGAUAUUGCUGUUUGAAUCCGGGUAUGUUGCUGUCAAAAAAAAACAGAUUUAUGCAGGUGGGCGAACAGCAGUAGUAUUAGCAGUUUCUGGGAAUUUUUCGUGGGAAAUUGGUGAUAAUCAAUAUGAGAAUCAUGUAGAGCCUUGUCAUACCUUUCCAACGAGUACUUAUGCGUUUGAUUCGGAGUUAUAAUUUAGGAGAUAUCGCUGUUUGAAUCCGGUUAUGUUGCUGUCCAAAAACAGAUUGCAGGGUGUAUCUUGUAGACGAGUUUGGGCUAAUUAGAUGCUGGAAUUUAAUUAUCAUUUGAAUAUAAAACUUGUGAGAAAUUUUAUGUAGAUGCUUCCGUAGUUUUUGAUUGAUAUCACUGCUGUUAUAAUUUUAAAGUUAUGAAAUUAUCAAGCAGCACCGCUGCAGUUUGGUGGUGAUGGGGAGAGUUGUCGCUCGCAACGGGUUGGAAUUGUGCGUAGGUGCGGCGUUGUUUAUUAGCGUUUGUUAUGUUGAUUUGUACACUAAGGUGUGUGUCAAAAACAGGUGGUGGACUUCCGGAUCGUACUUAGUACCAUUCCAAAUUCCCGGUGAAGG